Molecule: unclassified non-coding RNA, 233 nt
Filed under: Hevea brasiliensis (rubber tree)
Lineage: Eukaryota; Viridiplantae; Streptophyta; Magnoliopsida; Malpighiales; Euphorbiaceae
Source: RNAcentral
GACUACUGGGUUUUUAGGACAGGUGAUCUUUCGUUAAGCACUGCCCUUUGUCAAGAAUGUACUAAAGGCAUUAUUAUUUUAAUUUUAUUUUAUGUCAUUUGAUUAAUGGGUUUAUUUCUGAAUUUAUUCAUCUUUUUCCCCCUCGUUUCUUUGGUCUACAAGUUUUUCAAUCAAAGUGGUUGUAUGACCAAUUAUUUGAAGUUUUUGGCUUUUCAUUUGCACCAACCCCCCCU